CGGGGUGCACCAGGCGCGAAAACUUUACAAUGCCGGCAACGGCGAUAAGGGAACCUCGAGUGCCAGGUUACAAAUCUGGCUGUCGUGAUGCCUAAAAAGCAUUGCAUAGCAAGGGCCGGGCAAGACCGGUGCCAGCCGCCGCGGUAACACCGGCGGCUCGAGUGGUAACCGUUAUUAUUGGGUCUAAAGGGUCUGUAGCCGGCCGGGUAAGUCUCUUGGGAAAUCUGGCAGCUUAACUGUCAGGCUUUCAGGAGAUACUGCCUGGCUCGAGGCCGGGAGAGGUGAGAGGUACUUCAGGGGUAGGGGUGAAAUCUUGUAAUCCUUGAAGGACCACCAGUGGCGAAGGCGUCUCACCAGAACGGACCUGACGGCAAGGGACGAAAGCUAGGGGCACGAACCGGAUUAGAUACCCGGGUAGUCCUAGCCGUAAACGAUACUCGCUAGGUGUCGGCCACGGUGCGACCGUGGUCGGUGCCGUAGGGAAGCCGUGAAGCGAGCCACCUGGGAAGUACGGCCGCAAGGCUGAAACUUAAAGGAAUUGGCGGGGGAGCACA
This 554-nucleotide ribosomal RNA is filed under the name uncultured archaeon. RNAcentral's name for it is "bacterial SSU rRNA". It matches the Rfam family "Archaeal small subunit ribosomal RNA", at positions 326 to 880 of the family's 1478-position model. The record is from RNAcentral.